Molecule: ribosomal RNA, 208 nt
Filed under: uncultured bacterium
Lineage: Bacteria
Description: partial 16S ribosomal RNA
Rfam family: Bacterial small subunit ribosomal RNA
Source: RNAcentral
CCUACGGGAGGCAGCAGUGGGGAAUAUUGGACAAUGGGCGAAAGCCUGAUCCAGCCAUGCCGCGUGUGUGAAGAAGGUCUUCGGAUUGUAAAGCACUUUAAGUUGGGAGGAAGGGCAGUUACCUAAUACGUGAUUGUCUUGACGUUACCGACAGAAUAAGCACCGGCUAACUCUGUGCCAGCAGCCGCGGUAAUACAGAGGGUGCAAG